AAACUAGUCACUAGAGGAAAAAAUGAAAAGAGAUUAUCAAGCAUGCCCCUUCAUUAAGUCAAGGUUGGUGUAACUCAACCAGCCACCAUGCAAUGGCCCGCCAUGAGAAAAUUUGUAAAUCAUAUUUAAAAUGGACUUAGACUUGUAAUAGAGCUAAUAAUGGGUUUAAUUUUUAUUUAAAUAAAAGAGACAAGCCAUCAUAAAAUAAGAUAAGCGAAUACCGUGGCCAUACACGACCUUAUUUUGCCCUUGCUUCUUUUUGGCAGAGCAAGACUUACGCAAGACCAAGGCACAACAAUGGCUUGCACGGAGUUAUGUAUUGACUUCAUGGGACUUCUCAUGGCGCUGGUGAUUGCUCUCACCCUCAUGAUCAUCUGCUCCUCCCCUAAGAGGCGCGUCGUGGUGCAUCGCUGGCCUUGACCUUUUUCUCUCCCCAGAAUAUCUCUGUCAAUCGCUACAGAUUUCUGACAAUCUCAAGUUUUGUCAUUUUGAGUUUGUGUUCAUAGGGUGAUUUUUCAUUUCUGUGGUUUCCUUACCCUUUGUGAUUUUAUCUGGUGUAAUUCAUAUAGCUGGAAGCAGUUAACUGGGGAUGUGCCAUCUUCAUUUCCCCUGCCUCUCAUAGCUAAAUAGAUAGAUACUCUCUGUUCAUACAAUUGAAAUGAAUAAAAUAGAAGCUACUUUUCAAUCAGCGAGAUACCCACUUUCAAGUGAUAUCUAAUUUACAUAUCAAUUAGUAAGAUAGGUGCACAGUUUUCUUUUUUUUCCUCACAUAUUUCGUGUGGUUGACUUCAACGAAUUUCAUUUAUGAGUAAGAUAUUGGAAUUACGGAUGAGAUUCCUCAAAGUUACCUUGAGUUUGAUCCGUGCGAGAAUAGUUGCAACUACUACGAUCACUUCCUACGUUAGGAUGGUAUUU
RNAcentral lists this long non-coding RNA (915 nucleotides) under Glycine max (soybean). RNAcentral describes it as "long non-coding RNA (GMAX_LNC000690)". The record is from RNAcentral. Lineage: Eukaryota; Viridiplantae; Streptophyta; Magnoliopsida; Fabales; Fabaceae.